Gadus morhua (Atlantic cod) is the source of this 1062-nucleotide long non-coding RNA. RefSeq lists it as uncharacterized. Lineage: Eukaryota; Metazoa; Chordata; Actinopteri; Gadiformes; Gadidae. The record is from RefSeq and is a predicted model, not a curated record. The transcript is spliced from 4 exons.
AGACUUGUUUACCUGCCAGAUCACAGACAAGCCUAACCAGACUAUUAAACCUGCACCUCUUUACCCCAUUCCAGCAACGAGUGAGCCAUUCCAGCAUCUCAUCAUCGACUGUGUGGGGCCGCUCCCUCCAUCAAAGUCGGGGUGCAUCUUUUUGUUGAAGAUAUCUGAAGAAUUUCGUCGAAUCACCAGCAAAGACCUCCUGGAGACUUUCAAUGCGUCCCUUGACAAAUAUGUUCCUCGCCUGCUCAGACUGUACCGGGCAAGAAAGGGAGCUUUUGGUCAGCAAAUGGAAGACAUCCUGGCUAAGCUUGAUGAACAGACAUCAGACAUUCUGUCUCACCGAAAGACUGCAGCACUGAGAUGCCUCCCUGUUUUUGUCUGGGAUGACACAACCAAGUUUUUCCUGCAGCCUUUGGAAACUGACCCUGAUGAAAAAGGGCUAAGAGGCGUGUCUGUUGGCCUCCUUGCUGUCCGUGAAGAAGAUGAUCCUGCUGUUUCACCAGACGUGCGGGACUGGGCUGUUGUAUUGGAAGGUUCCAUCGUGCUACAUGACCUGCCAGACCUCGGCACUGCCUUUGCGUACCUCUUUGGCCUACUGUAUGCAAUGAACAUUGAUUAUCCGAAGGAGAUGAGGUACACCUUUGAAGCAAUUCAGACCAUCUUUUUCGAACUUGGCUCUCAGCGCACAAGGUCUCUGAAAACAAAGCUUUUGCUGUGACUCUUAAUGUGGAAGCCAACCUUUGAAUAUUUUCAAAAUUGUUUCAGGCACCAGUUUGUAAGAGGUGCAUAUAUCCACUGUCAACUGUUCAAGUUUGUGAGUGCUUUAGUAACACCUCUGUGUCUGUACACGCUUGCAUGUGUUCUCAUUUUAAGCAUGCCAUUCUCCUCUGCCUGUGAUAUAGAAAUGUGUGGGAUUAUCAGUUGCCAGUCCACAAAGCUCUGGAUUCUCAUUGGUUUUGUUUUUUAUAAAGUCAAGAUCCUUGAUUUAAUGUGCUAUAAUGUUUCAAGUUCCAUGGUGGUGUUGAACAUGUUUCUGAACAAGAGAAAUACAAAGUUUUCAGA